RNAcentral lists this ribosomal RNA (346 nucleotides) under uncultured bacterium. RNAcentral's name for it is "bacterial SSU rRNA". It matches the Rfam family "Bacterial small subunit ribosomal RNA", at positions 1 to 334 of the family's 1533-position model. The record is from RNAcentral.
GAUACGUCUUCAGAGUUUGAUCCUGGCUCAGGAUGAACGCUAGCUACAGGCUUAACACAUGCAAGUCGAGGGGAAACGGCGGAGGAGCUUGCUUCUUCGGACGUCGACCGGCGCACGGGUGAGUAACGCGUAUCCAACCUGCCCCGGUCUGCGGGAUAACCCGUCGAAAGACGGACUAAUACCGCAUGGGGUUCCCUGAGGGCAUCUGACGGGAACUAAAGAUUGAUCGGACCGGGAUGGGGAUGCGUCUGAUUAGCUCGUUGGCGGGGUAACGGCCCACCAAGGCUACGAUCAGUAGGGGUUCUGAGAGGAAGGUCCCCCACAUAGGAACUGAGACACGGUCCUA